Oxyura jamaicensis (ruddy duck) is the source of this 749-nucleotide long non-coding RNA. RefSeq lists it as uncharacterized. The transcript is spliced from 4 exons. Lineage: Eukaryota; Metazoa; Chordata; Aves; Anseriformes; Anatidae. The record is from RefSeq and is a predicted model, not a curated record.
UAAAUUAAGAUACAUACACAAGACAGGGACUGGAAAAUCACUGGGUAUGUCAUUGCUUUCAUAACCUUCUUAUUUGCUCCACAAAUUGGUUUAUGGUCCUCUUAGGGCAUGUUCAUCAACAGACUCCUUGUCAACAAUUUGAUAUGAAGCUUCAAAUGGACCAGAAAACAGGAUACAGGAAGAAACAAGGUGACCUUAGUUGAAAGGCAGCAAGCCACUUACAUUAGCCAUCAUGUCAUAAACCUUAUGCAGAAUCAAACUCUGUAUCAGAGGCAAGAAAAACAUAGAGAUUCUGGUUAACAAAUAAGUGGAGAAAAAAGAUACAACAAAAACAAGAACCGGUAAAAAGCAACUUCAUUAGUUGCAAAAUUCUUGAAAUAAGGAAAAACUUUAAAAUUGAAGACAAAAUAAAAGAACAAAGUUAGAGAGACCAAACUAUUUCAGCAUGAAGAGAAAUAUUGGCAGUGAAACAUGGGUAAGGUCAAAUUCCCUGCAGGUUGACUGAUACUGAGAUUGUAAAUCCAGAAGAAAAUACCAUGGAUAUAAGGAGGAGAUGGACCCCUGGAGCUUUCCUUUAACCACUAUCAAGCUCAACACUGACUAGAGACACUUCCAGAACUCUGUACACACUUGGAAGAGUGACCUGUCCUCACCUGGUAGAGUGGUACUACCUGCACAAUACUUUAAUAGGAUCCCCGGUACAGGAGCUGGGAGGAAUUUAGGGGCCAGAAUAUAAUGGUCUCCAACUA